UACGUAGGUGGCAAGCGUUGUCCGGAUUUACUGGGCGUAAAGAGCGCGCAGGCGGUCGUUCAAGUCGCGUGUGAAAGCCCCCGGCUCAACUGGGGAGGGUCACGCGAUACUGAUCGACUCGAAGGCAGGAGAGGGAAGUGGAAUUCCCGGUGUAGUGGUGAAAUGCGUAGAGAUCGGGAGGAACACCAGUGGCGAAGGCGGCUCGCUGGGCCGGUCCUGACACUGAGGCGCGAAGGCGUGGGGAGCGAACGGG
This 253-nucleotide ribosomal RNA is filed under the name uncultured bacterium. RNAcentral's name for it is "partial 16S ribosomal RNA". It matches the Rfam family "Bacterial small subunit ribosomal RNA", at positions 524 to 776 of the family's 1533-position model. The record is from RNAcentral.